UAUAGAUAUCCACUCAAACCUCCAUCUAGGAUGCUUUCUCCAUAUUUGAUCCAUCUUCUCCAAGGUGGAUCUGAAGGGCUCUCGAUUAGCAACGAAGUGAUCUCCAGGGAGAGCUGCUGGAUCAACUUUUAAUGCAGCCCUUUCUCCCUCCUUUGGUGGGUCAAUGCUUGAACUCUUUCAAGUGAAUAAGGGAUAUACCAACACCUUUGGGUGUGAGGUAUGGAGGGAGCCUACUCUAGGCAU
This 243-nucleotide long non-coding RNA is filed under the name Elaeis guineensis (African oil palm). RNAcentral describes it as "long non-coding RNA (EGUI_LNC064598)". Lineage: Eukaryota; Viridiplantae; Streptophyta; Magnoliopsida; Arecales; Arecaceae. The record is from RNAcentral.